AGAGUUUGAUCCUGGCUCAGAUUGAACGCUGGCGGCAUGCCUUACACAUGCAAGUCGAACGGCAGCACGGGAGCAAUCCUGGUGGCGAGUGGCGAACGGGUGAGUAAUACAUCGGAACGUGUCCUGGAGUGGGGGAUAGCCCGGCGAAAGCCGGAUUAAUACCGCAUACGCUCUGUGGAGGAAAGGGGGGGAUCUUCGGACCUCUCGCUCAAGGGGCGGCCGAUGGCAGAUUAGCUAGUUGGUGGGGUAAAGGCCUACCAAGGCGACGAUCUGUAGCUGGUCUGAGAGGACGACCAGCCACACUGGGACUGAGACACGGCCCAGACUCCUACGGGAGGCAGCAGUGGGGAAUUUUGGACAAUGGGCGCAAGCCUGAUCCAGCAAUGCCGCGUGUGUGAAGAAGGCCUUCGGGUUGUAAAGCACUUUUGUCCGGAAAGAAAACCUCGUGGUUAAUACCCGUGGGGGAUGACGGUACCGGAAGAAUAAGCACCGGCUAACUACGUGCCAGCAGCCGCGGUAAUACGUAGGGUGCAAGCGUUAAUCGGAAUUACUGGGCGUAAAGCGUGCGCAGGCGGUUCGCUAAGACAGAUGUGAAAUCCCCGGGCUUAACCUGGGAACUGCAUUUGUGACUGGCGGGCUAGAGUAUGGCAGAGGGGGGUAGAAUUCCACGUGUAGCAGUGAAAUGCGUAGAGAUGUGGAGGAAUACCGAUGGCGAAGGCAGCCCC
This 725-nucleotide ribosomal RNA is filed under the name uncultured Paraburkholderia sp. Its description in RNAcentral is "bacterial SSU rRNA". It matches the Rfam family "Bacterial small subunit ribosomal RNA", at positions 8 to 728 of the family's 1533-position model. The record is from RNAcentral. Lineage: Bacteria; Pseudomonadati; Pseudomonadota; Betaproteobacteria; Burkholderiales; Burkholderiaceae.